AUACCGAAAUCACACAGAAACCA
This 23-nucleotide small nuclear RNA is filed under the name Arabidopsis thaliana (thale cress). RNAcentral's name for it is "snRNA_15213". Lineage: Eukaryota; Viridiplantae; Streptophyta; Magnoliopsida; Brassicales; Brassicaceae. The record is from RNAcentral.